GACGAACGCUGGCGGCGUGCUUAACACAUGCAAGUCGAACGGAAAGGCCCUGCUUUUGUGGGGUGCUCGAGUGGCGAACGGGUGAGUAACACGUGAGUAACCUGCCCUUGACUUUGGGAUAACUUCAGGAAACUGGGGCUAAUACCGGAUAGGAGCUCCUGCUGCAUGGUGGGGGUUGGAAAGUUUCGGCGGGUGGGGAUGGACGGGCGGCUUAUCAGCUUGUUGGUGGGGUAGUGGCUUACCAAGGCUUUGACGGGUAGCCGGCCUGAGAGGGUGACCGGCCACAUUGGGACUGAGAUACGGCCCAGACUCCUACGGGAGGCAGCAGUGGGGAAUAUUGCACAAUGGGCGGAAGCCUGAUGCAGCAACGCCGCGUGCGGAAUGACGGCCUUCGGGUUGUAAACCGCUUUCGCCUGUGACGAAGCGUGAGUGACGGUAAUGGGUAAAGAAGCACCGGCUAACUACGUG
Molecule: ribosomal RNA, 468 nt
Filed under: uncultured bacterium
Lineage: Bacteria
Description: partial 16S ribosomal RNA
Rfam family: Bacterial small subunit ribosomal RNA
Source: RNAcentral